ACUUAUGGCCAGACUACCCUGAGAACGCCCAAUCUUGUCCGAUCUCGGAAGCAAAGCAGGGUCGGACCUGGUUCGUAUUCGGAUGGGAGACCGCCUGGGAAUACCAGGUGCUGUAAGCU
Molecule: ribosomal RNA, 119 nt
Filed under: Hippocampus comes (tiger tail seahorse)
Lineage: Eukaryota; Metazoa; Chordata; Actinopteri; Syngnathiformes; Syngnathidae
Source: RNAcentral